GUGACCGUAAACGAUGCCAACCAGCGAUUCGGCGAUGUUCUUUUUGUGACUCGCUGAGCAGCUUCCGGGAAACCAAAGUGUUUCGGUUCCGGGGGAAGUAUGGUUGCAAAGCUGAAACUUAAAGGAAUUGACGGAAGGGCACCACCAGGAGUGGAGCAUGCGGCUUAAUUUGACUCAACACGGGAAAACUCACCCGUCCCGAACACUGCGAGGAUUGACAGAUCAAGAGCUCUUUCUUGAUUCAGUGGGUAGUGGUGCAUGGCCGUUCUUAGUUGGUGGAGCGAUUUGUCUGGCUAAUUCCGAUAACGAACGAGACUCUGGCCUACUAACUAGCGGCGGUAUUCACGUCUCCCGCGCGACGCCGCGCUGCGCUGCGGCUGAGCACAGUCGUCGCCGUUUGCGCGAGCGCUCCGCGGAGCACCUGCAGUGCCGGCAGCCGCUUCUUAGAGGGACCAGCGACACUUUCGCAAGCCGCACGAGAAAGAGCAAUAACAGGUCUGUGAUGCCCUUAGAUGUACGGGGCUGCACGCGUGCUACACUGACGGCGUCAGCGUGCGUUCAAGCCCGGCCUGGCAAGGCCAGGAAAUCGGUUGAAACGUUCUCGUGACUGGGACAGGGAAUUGCAAUUAUUUCCCUCGAACGAGGAAUUCCCAGUAAGCGCGAGUCAUCAGCUUGCGUUGACUA
RNAcentral lists this ribosomal RNA (684 nucleotides) under Trichuris trichiura (human whipworm). RNAcentral's name for it is "bacterial SSU rRNA". It matches the Rfam family "Eukaryotic small subunit ribosomal RNA", at positions 1026 to 1647 of the family's 1831-position model. The record is from RNAcentral. Lineage: Eukaryota; Metazoa; Nematoda; Enoplea; Trichinellida; Trichuridae.